GCGCCGCGUAUCGCGCGGGCGGAAGCCGCCGCUGCUUCCGAAGCAGUCGACGUGCAUGCGCCGUUCGAGUUGUCCGCGGUGCA
This 83-nucleotide transfer RNA is filed under the name Burkholderia sola. Its description in RNAcentral is "tRNA-Arg". Lineage: Bacteria; Pseudomonadati; Pseudomonadota; Betaproteobacteria; Burkholderiales; Burkholderiaceae. The record is from RNAcentral.